This 747-nucleotide ribosomal RNA is filed under the name cyanobacterium cCLB-9. Its description in RNAcentral is "bacterial SSU rRNA". It matches the Rfam family "Bacterial small subunit ribosomal RNA", at positions 20 to 809 of the family's 1533-position model. The record is from RNAcentral. Lineage: Bacteria; Bacillati; Cyanobacteriota.
UGGCUCAGGAUGAACGCUGGCGGUAUGCUUAACACAUGCAAGUCGAACGGAUGUUUUCGGACAUUAGUGGCGGACGGGUGAGUAACGCGUGAGAAUCUAGCUUCAGGUUGGGGACAACAGUUGGAAACGACUGCUAAUACCGAAUAUGCCGAGAGGUGAAAGAUUAAUUGCCUGAAGAAGAGCUCGCGUCUGAUUAGCUAGUUGGUGGGGUAAGAGCUUACCAAGGCGACGAUCGGUAGCUGGUCUGAGAGGACGAUCAGCCACACUGGGACUGAGACACGGCCCAGACUCCUACGGGAGGCAGCAGUGGGGAAUUUUCCGCAAUGGGCGAAAGCCUGACGGAGCAAUACCGCGUGAGGGAAGAAGGCUCUUGGGUUGUAAACCUCUUUUCUUAGGGAAGAAAAAAAUGACGGUACCUAAGGAAUAAGCAUCGGCUAACUCCGUGCCAGCAGCCGCGGUAAUACGGAGGAUGCAAGCGUUAUCCGGAAUGAUUGGGCGUAAAGCGUCCGCAGGUGGUUUAUCAAGUUUGCGGUUAAAGGUUCUGGCUCAACCAGAGACAGGCCGUGAAAACUGAUAGACUAGAGUAUGGUAGGGGCAGAGGGAAUUCCCAGUGUAGCGGUGAAAUGCGUAGAGAUUGGGAAGAACACCGGUGGCGAAAGCGCUCUGCUAGGCCAAAACUGACACUGAGGGACGAAAGCUAGGGGAGCGAAUGGGAUUAGAUACCCCAGUAGUCCUAGCCGUAAACGA